Molecule: non-coding RNA, 550 nt
Organism: Camellia sinensis
Lineage: Eukaryota; Viridiplantae; Streptophyta; Magnoliopsida; Ericales; Theaceae
Source: RefSeq, a predicted model, not a curated record
UUAAAGUACAUUUUCCCCUGUCUAACUUGAUGUAACAUAUUUGUUGCAGAUUGGGGUUUUUCUUGAUAGGAGGGUUUUGUUCUACAUUCUUCCAAUUUUCUCAUUUGUUUUACUUUACUCCAAUCUUCCACAUAAGGUUGAUUAUGGCGAAUGUUUCUGAGUUUACAAUAAUCCAAAUAUCACCAUGCACUUCAAUACAGAGACUCUGGAUAUUGUUAGCAAUACGAAAGGGCAAAUGUCUGGCAUUUUGGUUAGAAAAGUUGACACUAGGGACGAGUUUGUGCUUGAGGCAAAAGGCUUAUUCUAUGGGAUAGGUCAUUCACCAAAUAGCAAAUUUUUGGAAGGCCAAAUUGAACUUGACAGCUAAGGUUAUGUAUUGGUGGAGGAGGGUACUGCAAAAACUUCUAUUGAAGGUGUAUUUGCUGCCGGAGAUGUACAGGAUCAUGAAUGGAGGCAAGACAUAACUGCAGCAGGUUUAGGAUGCAUUGCUGCUUUAUCAGUUGAGAGAUAUCUUGCGACCAAUAAUCUCCUUGUUGAAUUUCACCAGGUA